Sclerotinia nivalis is the source of this 112-nucleotide non-coding RNA. Lineage: Eukaryota; Fungi; Ascomycota; Leotiomycetes; Helotiales; Sclerotiniaceae. The record is from the annotation of a GenBank genome assembly.
GGCACUUUGCCAGAGUGGUUAAUGGGUAGCACUCGAAUUCCUGUAGCUUACUACAGGAUAUAAUAGAUAUGCUAUGUCUUCGGACGCGCAGGUUCAAAUCCUGCAGGUGUCG